This 1531-nucleotide long non-coding RNA is filed under the name Homo sapiens (human). Its description in RNAcentral is "non-protein coding lnc-FAM46C-2:1". The record is from RNAcentral. Lineage: Eukaryota; Metazoa; Chordata; Mammalia; Primates; Hominidae.
UGGAUUUGGUCCAUGGGUCAUAGUUAGUGACCCUGAUCCCAAGUUUAUUUUGUGUUAGACCCUCUAACCUUUGAUCUGCGUCUUUUCUGUUUUGAUUUACAUAAUUCAUUUUUAAAUCAAAAAGAUGUGCGUAUAUAUGGUUGUGUGUAUCUGUAUAACCUAAAGCUAUAAUAUUUUGUUGUCUUGAAAGCAGAUACACUCUUCCUGGAGUCUGUUCAGGUUUCAGGACGAUUGACUAUAAUGAAAGAGACAGAAUAGGGUAAGGGAAGAUGGGUAUGCUAUCAGCCAUUUUCUUUGCCUUGUCAUUUAAUGCCAUAAUUUCAGAUUCUCUAUGUAAAAAGAAGGUCUGUGUAUUGUCAAAAUAAUAUACUCUCCAAGUUCUCCUGCUCAUUGACCCUUGAACCAGGAUUCUGGAUUGCUAGAGCUGCAGAAAUUCACCCACUUGGGUACUCUUAGAGCUCUACAGCAAGAAUAUGAUAGAAUGUCUGAUCUUUGUGCUGCAGAAAGCAAACUUUUGAAGAAUUCUAAGCAACAGAAAAUGGGUUAUGUGACUCAUCUGCUAUUUGGCAGCCACUAUUCCUUUUUUAGACUGCAGAACGGUACUGCCCCUGUUACCUCUAGAAUAGCCUGAGUCUGAGGAGUGCAGAGAAAAGAUAUAUCCAAAAGGAGAAUCCCUUUCUCUUGCAUAACUCUCAAUCCUUUACAAGUAAGUAGCAUUAUUUCAGAAUGUCUAUAUGCAUCAUUUUCAACUAAAGCAUACCUCAUCCUUAAACUUCCACUAUUUAACAGCUAAUCCAUUUCAAACUUGGUUUGAGCCUAGCAAUUGCAGAACUCAUAAAAUUGCUUGUGAAAUUACACACCAUAUUACUAGCAUAUACAUUGCAGUGCUCCAAUCAUGCUAACAGAUAAUAGAUUUUUCUUUAAGAAUUUUAUCAAAUAUUUCACUAUUUGGGGAAAUUUUAGAGGAGGGGAAGCCUGUAUUCAGGAUGAUAGAGGGAGCAGAGACUUACUGUCUCUCUUCCACAUUAUAAAUGAACUGCCUUUCCAGGUCCAACAUGCUGUCAGGUUGCUUCAGCUCGGUGUGAAUGUAAGUGUGGGGAUCAAACACACACACCUAUACACAUACAUAUUAAUAUGCAGAGGAUUUUAAAUAAUUGCAAAUGUCUUGUGGCUGUUUUAUUUCUACAAAAUUCUGUAAGAUGUAUACCAGAAAACAUAAUAAAGAUAAGCUCAGUUCUUCAUUGGGAAAAAAUAUUUUUAAAGAAAAUUUAGAAGUUUUUGCUGAAUUAAAGUAUCUUCAAUUUUAAUUACUGGAUUUGGAAGUUGAAAUGCCAUCCUUCAAUAUCACUGGUCUCAAAUUCAUUGAUAGAAUUUUUUCUUAAACUAAUAAGUGGGGUAAGUAUAAUCUCCUAAAUUGGUACCCACUGGCUGCUCCUAAACUGGUUUCCAGUCAUGUCCUCCAGUAUGUGAUUUUUAUAAAUUAAAGGUAAUAUUGUAUAUUAAAGUUCAAAUAAAGAUGUUCUUUAAGUGA